Dipodomys ordii (Ord's kangaroo rat) is the source of this 165-nucleotide unclassified non-coding RNA. Ensembl annotates it as predicted gene, 27533. The record is from Ensembl. Lineage: Eukaryota; Metazoa; Chordata; Mammalia; Rodentia; Heteromyidae.
UAGUGUUCAUCAUGGCGAACAGAUGGCACCCGGAGAAAUGGAGCCCUCCCCCCUGCAGGUGUGCGUCCUAGCUGUGCAGGAGGGGAGGCCUGGAGGAUGCAGCCCGCUUAAAUUGACGCCUGCAGAUUGAAUUCCACAGUCUUAGGAGGAGGAGGAGGUGCUCCA